RNAcentral lists this ribosomal RNA (481 nucleotides) under uncultured bacterium. Its description in RNAcentral is "partial 16S ribosomal RNA". It matches the Rfam family "Bacterial small subunit ribosomal RNA", at positions 28 to 507 of the family's 1533-position model. The record is from RNAcentral.
GAUGAACGCUGGCGGCGUGCUUAACACAUGCAAGUCGAACGAAGCACUUUAUUUGAUUUCCUUCGGGACUGAUUAUUUUGUGACUGAGUGGCGGACGGGUGAGUAACGCGUGGGUAACCUGCCUUGUACAGGGGGAUAACAGUUGGAAACGGCUGCUAAUACCGCAUAAGCGCACAGCAUCGCAUGAUGCAGUGUGAAAAACUCCGGUGGUAUAAGAUGGACCCGCGUUGGAUUAGCUAGUUGGUGAGGUAACGGCCCACCAAGGCGACGAUCCAUAGCCGACCUGAGAGGGUGACCGGCCACAUUGGGACUGAGACACGGCCCAAACUCCUACGGGAGGCAGCAGUGGGGAAUAUUGCACAAUGGGCGAAAGCCUGAUGCAGCGACGCCGCGUGAGCGAAGAAGUAUUUCGGUACGUAAAGCUCUAUCAGCAGGGAAGAUAAUGACGGUACCUGACGAAGAAGCACCGGCUAAAUACGUG